This is a long non-coding RNA of Saccostrea cuccullata (small rock oyster), 1886 nucleotides long. RefSeq lists it as uncharacterized. The record is from RefSeq and is a predicted model, not a curated record. The transcript has 6 exons. NCBI's taxonomy places the organism in Eukaryota, Metazoa, Mollusca, Bivalvia, Ostreida, Ostreidae.
GCGGCUAGCAAUUAUUGGCGGAAAAUUAUGAGGGUGAAACCGUGAAUGACAGAAUAUGCAAUCAUGAACCAGAUGAUGUUAAACACCACAUUGCUGUAAACGCCAGAUAUGCCCCUGCUUAGCCACUUAUGAUGAGGAUGAAAGCCUUGCAUGCAAAUAUAAAACAGAAGUAAAAUUUUCCAUGCCUACUCCUCCUUGUUGUCUAUAAUUUUGAGGAGGUCCUCUUUAUGCAUGCAGCUUGGAUCUUUGAAUAUGUUGACUGGAAGUCCAGAAAGAUGGAAACCAUAAGGUGGCAAAAUGGAAUUCUUCUUGCCUUCUUAUGUCGGAGAAGUAUGUUAAUCCAUUUGGGGAUCCAAAUAUGGUAGGUUUACCUUCAUAAAAUGCCAAGCCACCAAUUUCAACGCCAAGCCCACUGAGGAGUUUACACUUAAAAAAAUAAAAUAACUAAGGAACUUGAAGCUUCUUAGAGGACUCUAAAACCAUUGGAUCACUCUGUGAAGCAACUUUCAUGCCCUCUCUGUACUGAGACUCCAAAAAGGAAGAAUCUUCUGAUGAAAAGGAUACCUUUUCCAUGAUCUUAAUAAAAUUAACAAGAACCAUAUAUACUUUAGGUAAUUUUACCUGCUUGAAAUUUGAAGAGAAUCUUCUCUGCAGUAUGCCAUAUGGUGGGAUACAUUUAUGUAUGUAAUCUGAUGUCAACUUCCUGUUUGUCUGUGCAUCUGUCUGUUUCAUACAAAACAAAUUUUCGUUGCAGUUUUCUCAGCAACUACUCAUUGCAGAUGCUUACAAUUUUAACAGAAUCUUCUCUGAGGCAUGCAAUACAGUGGGAUACAUUUAUGUUCAAAUCCAAUGUCAACUUCCUGUUUGUAAUCUGUCCGUUUAAUUCAAAACAAAUUUCAUCGCAGUUUUCUCAGCAACUACUCGUAGCCGAUGCUUGAAAUUUUAACACAAUCUCUUCUGAUGCAAGACAUAUGGUGGGAUAUACAUGUAUGUUUGUUAAAAUCUGAUGUCAACUUCCUAUUUGUCUGUGUGUCUGUCCGUUUCAUAUACAGUAUAUAACAAAUCCUCAUUAACUAACUUGGAGAUGCUUGAAAUUUUAGUAAACUCUAUGUUGAGGCAUGCCAUAUGGUGGGAUUAAUUUUUAUAGGAAUCUGAUGUCAACUUCAUAUUUUCCUGUGCAUUUGCCUGUAAUUGAACUUGUGUAUAUUAACAUGAUAGUGUUCAUUCACAUCAGAGCAGGGGUAUUAGUAGUGAGCAUUGGCUCACAUAUUUCUUGUUUAUGCUAAUCUAAUAUAAGAAUUUAUGUUUGCAAAAAACAUAUAGCAAGUAUUUAAUGAUUGAAUACUAAUUUUUCAAUGCAAUGAUAUAAAGUAAAAAAAAUGCAUUCACAUUGUUGAUAAGUUUAUGAUUGAAUAUGUAAAAUGUUAUAAUAUGUUCAAAACUUUCAUGAUAACAUUUCUCCUAAAAAGCCUAGAAAAAAAAUAUGUUUGUUUCUGCUUUCAGGGUGAAAAAAUGUAGGGUAGGUAGGUAGGUAGGCAAUUUUUUUUUGAAUUUUUUUUACUUCUUUAUUCAAAAGGUGUAUAGAAGUAACAUCAAUGACAAGACAUGGUGUUUUCAAGCAUUUUUGUGACUUAAACUUAUAAUAGAAAGGUGACUUAAACUUCUUUCUGGCUUGAAAAGCUUGCAAAGCUGAGGAGGUUAUAAGUCCCUGGUUGAAAUCUUGCACUUCAAGGGACAAAAGCAUUAAAAAAAAAUUGGGGUUCGCACUAUAAAUUAGGGUGGGUCGGGAAAGCGGAAACAAACAUUUUUUUCUAGGCCUAAGACUUAAGUAAGUAUUUGAAAAUAAGCAUUGUUGAUCAAUUUAUGGUAGCAUUUAAUGAAUUUCA